RNAcentral lists this ribosomal RNA (490 nucleotides) under uncultured bacterium. RNAcentral's name for it is "bacterial SSU rRNA". It matches the Rfam family "Bacterial small subunit ribosomal RNA", at positions 501 to 992 of the family's 1533-position model. The record is from RNAcentral.
CUACGUGCCAGCAGCCGCGGUAAUACGGAGGGUGCGAGCGUUAAUCGGAAUAACUGGGCGUAAAGGGCACGCAGGCGGUGACUUAAGUGAGGUGUGAAAGCCCCGGGCUUAACCUGGGAAUUGCAUUUCAUACUGGGUCGCUAGAGUACUUUAGGGAGGGGUAGAAUUCCACGUGUAGCGGUGAAAUGCGUAGAGAUGUGGAGGAAUACCGAAGGCGAAGGCAGCCCCUUGGGAAUGUACUGACGCUCAUGUGCGAAAGCGUGGGGAGCAAACAGGAUUAGAUACCCUGGUAGUCCACGCUGUAAACGAUGUCGAUUUGGGGGUUGAGCUUUGAGCUUGGCGCCCGUAGCUAACGUGAUAAAUCGACCGCCUGGGGAGUACGGCCGCAAGGUUAAAACUCAAAUGAAUUGACGGGGGCCCGCACAAGCGGUGGAGCAUGUGGUUUAAUUCGAUGCAACGCGAAGAACCUUACCUACUCCUGACAUCCAGA